CUGGAUCCCUGACGGCAAGCCACAAGUUCCAAUAUUCCACCAGAUCAUGACACCAUGGAGUUAGAAGCUGCUUCUCACCUGCAAUAAGAAGAGGAAGUCUCCGCAGGGAGUUCUCUGGAGUCUCACCAUGGACCUUCCAUUUCUUGUAAGACUUUUAAAUUAAGAGCUGGCCGUGGCUGCCCCUGCAAGCAAAGCAGUUUGGAGCAGCUGGACAGAAUGCUGGAGGAGAGACGCAGCUGGGCCGUUCUCUCCGGAGAGUAAGAUGCAUCCUCGGAGGUUGACUCAGCUGCUAGGAAACCUCCCAUGACUAGCGGGCUCUGUUCCCCCCGUUAACUACGCAGUUUUUUUCGGAAACCAUAUUUGCAAUAGCUUGAAUAAUAUUAACUUUCUAAACUGACUAGAAAACAAAAUAAUCUGCUCCUAGAAAGGAGCAGCAAGUGCCUCUUAUAUCUAGAUUAAACAUACAGCUAAAAUAUUUUUUUAAGUAAGGUGACUUGUGCCAGACAGUAGUAUAGUGUUCUGGUUACAAAGAAUCUAGGGUCUACCGCUUCUUAGCCACGUGCAUUUAUUUGCACAGGUGUCUUGAUUUCAUUGAGCCUCAGUUUCUUCCAUCUGUAAAAUCGUGACAAUAAUGGCAUCUGAGUUUAUUUUUAGUGAAAUGCUCAUUUGCAAGUGACCAGCCUUUUCCCCAAGUUUAGAGAAAGUCUCCUCAAUAUAUUUGUUGCUAGUAAGACUAUCCUGCCAUUUAUUAUAGAAAUUGUGAGGUGCUGGCAAUGAAACUGUGCAAUCUGCCGAGUGAGCCACUUUUGGUGGCUCCGGGUCUAACUGCCAUGUAGAUUUAGACCCUGUGAACCUCUGUACUGCAAUCUUCGCUUUCUCUUUGAGUUUG
RNAcentral lists this long non-coding RNA (889 nucleotides) under Equus caballus (horse). RNAcentral describes it as "lncRNA (ENSECAG00000057241.1)". The record is from RNAcentral. Lineage: Eukaryota; Metazoa; Chordata; Mammalia; Perissodactyla; Equidae.